RNAcentral lists this long non-coding RNA (1016 nucleotides) under Hordeum vulgare. RNAcentral's name for it is "long non-coding RNA (HVUL_LNC016486)". Lineage: Eukaryota; Viridiplantae; Streptophyta; Magnoliopsida; Poales; Poaceae. The record is from RNAcentral.
CAGACGCUCAAAAAAAAGGACACUGCGAUACAACUCUAGCAUGCGCUUUAAAUUUAAAAUGCCCACGCCUAGCACAAACAACAUUUCUUACUUUUUAAAUCAUUAAAAAGUUCAAAAACACAAAAAUAAAUCAACAAUAAUAGUUCAUAGCAUUGUUCAUAAACAUAGUUCAGGUCCAAAUGAUACAAACGAAAAUGAUAUAACUAGAUUGAUAAACUACAUAGAUAAAUACUAGAAAACUCCUGCUCCUUGCUCUCCUUGAUGGUGUAGUCCGACGUGAGGAAAGUGUCAACCCAACAAUCAUCCUUCUCGCUUCAUGUCGACGCCUGCCCCAGGUUGCACUGCGCUACCGCUGCAUCCUUCUGCUCACGCCUGUCUGCCCGCUCCGCGGCUCGCACCGCCCUCUAUAGCGCCUAGUACUCACGCUUGUCGAUGACAUCCUGCGGGAAGCGCUGGCACCACAUCUUCAUGGCCUGCUCAUCCGUCUCGGUGAUGAGGAGGCGAUGCUUCUGCCUCUGCUUGAUGUGGCAGUCCUUCGCGGUGAUUAGCCGCGAGGAAGGCGUGUGGUCCUGCGCCUCCUCGUGCGUCCGGACUUCCAAAAAUUCAUCCAUGACAGCAACCUGGUGAGCCGCCAUGCCGGCGCAUCAUACGCGCGGGCGGCCGCUUGGCGGUCUCAAACGUCGUGAGCCCGAGGCGUGUAUUACGGAAGCGUAUCUUCGCGUAAAACACGCCAGAGGAGCCGACGUGAAUGCCGUAAUAGCCGAAACUGCUCCAGCGGCGCGGUGGCAUCGUGGCGACGAGGAAGAAGGGCGACGGGGCCGAGGGAGAAGGGCGUCGGAGACGAGGAAAGCGGCGACGGUGGCCCGGCGGAGGCGAAGUCGCAGGCGCUGGGGGUGAAGGUUUGCGGGCGAGCGCACACGGUUUUUAUAGGGCGCGUUGGUCGCCGCACGUCAAAACUGCCGCGCGCAUUGCUGCUUUUUCACGUAUGCGUCUUUUUUUUUGCGCGUCAGUUUUUC